This 294-nucleotide small nuclear RNA is filed under the name Castor canadensis (American beaver). RNAcentral describes it as "7SK RNA (ENSCCNG00000020322.1)". It matches the Rfam family "7SK RNA". From Rfam's summary of the family: 7SK was discovered as an abundant small nuclear RNA in the mid-70s but a possible function has only recently been suggested. Two independent studies have found that 7SK RNA binds the CDK9/cyclin T complex (known as elongation factor P-TEFb). Lineage: Eukaryota; Metazoa; Chordata; Mammalia; Rodentia; Castoridae. The record is from RNAcentral.
GGAUGUGAGGGUGAUCUGGCUGCGACAUCUGUCACCCCACUGAUCACCAGGGUUGAUUCAGCUGAUCUGGCUGGCUAGGCAGGUGUCCCCUUCCUCCCUCACCGCUCCAUGUGUGUCCCUCCCGAAACUGCACGCUCGGUCAAAGAGGACGACCAUCCCCGACAGAGGAGGACCAUUCUUCGGUUAAGGGUACAGGAGUAGCUGUGCUCCCCUACUAGAACCUUCAAACAAGUUCUCGAAAACAACAAAAAAAAAAAAAACCCUUAGGCCAGAUGUAGUGGCUCAUGUCUGUAA